Phalacrocorax carbo (great cormorant) is the source of this 1215-nucleotide non-coding RNA. The record is from RefSeq and is a predicted model, not a curated record. Lineage: Eukaryota; Metazoa; Chordata; Aves; Suliformes; Phalacrocoracidae.
UUACAGAUCUGUGGCAGCGUGAAGAGAAGGCAGGAGGUCUACCUAACGCAGCAAAAAGGAAGCCAUCAGGCUAAUGUUUGGUAGCAGAGAGCUGUUUGCAACUGGGAGAAAGGCUUUGUGUAUGGCUACACUCAGAAAUGCUCACAAAUUCCAGCUAGCACAGUAUCGUCUGUGAUUGGCACUGCGUAACAUCUACGUUUGAGAUAUUUCUGUGCUCUGACCAGAAAAAUCCCAGUUGAAUCCAACUCUUGAUCUUCAUGGAGGGGCCCCUCACAAAGGAGAUGCUGAUGUUGUCUGUCAGCUUGGAGCUUCAUCCUCCCAUCAGUUAGUUACCAGUCCUGCUGCUACAUCAGCCUCUUGCGGAUGGUGACCAAAAUCACAUCUGUAUGCUGCUACAUGGAUUGCCAGUAUGACCAGACUUGCUUGUAUACCUCCUUAAUUUCAUUGAGUCACACGAGGUGAAUAUCCUGACCUGAGCAAAGAAGGAGCAGGAGUUGUGCUGAAGAACUUGACAUACUUAGCAUCACUAAGUUUUUAAACCACUACUGCAAUGCUCUUUCUUAGCCAAAUAGGUCCAGCUGUAUUAAUUAUGGAGGGAGCUAAUUCGUCUCUAAAAGAAAAAUACAUUUAUGACAGUAUCCUAACUUGUUUUUGAGAGAGGGAAUAAACUUCUGGAUUUCAUUAAAGUGAGUUUUCUUCCAAUAUAUCACUGUGCUCCCACCAAACCAAGUUAUAAAAUUGCUCUGGGAGCAAGGGUAGGCCACUUAAGAAAACCUGGCCUCACAUUCCUUGUCAUUUCUCACAUCCAUCCAAGAUGGUUGGAACAUCAACUCUUACUUCCAUAGUUUAAGAAUAUCCUUGCCAUUUGGAGCUUUUGGUUACGUGGCCAGCUAUCAUUCUACUAGGAUGAGAGCUGACUGGGUUGUAAUUAACUGGACACUUCCAUUUAUCUCUUCAUGCUGGAUCAACAUGGUAAAAUGAAGACUACAUGUUUAAAGCACUUGAAAGGCAGUAAACUUUAAAGUGGCAUCUAAUCAACCUGUGGAAUUUGUUGCUGUGGGACAUGGAGGCAAACAGUUUGAGAGUCAGGGUAGGAUUAAACAUUUGAAUAGGAAUAAUACCUGCAGUUAACUUGCGAGGUUAAAGUAUUAUGAGGUUUAUCAGUUCUUUUGCUUCUGGGCAUAAACUGCCAUCUCAGUUUGUGAAAGAACUUGU